This 431-nucleotide ribosomal RNA is filed under the name uncultured bacterium. Its description in RNAcentral is "partial 16S ribosomal RNA". It matches the Rfam family "Bacterial small subunit ribosomal RNA", at positions 29 to 507 of the family's 1533-position model. The record is from RNAcentral.
AGCGAACGCUGGCGGCAGGCUUAACACAUGCAAGUCGAGCGCCCCGCAAGGGGAGCGGCCGACGGGAGAGUAACACGUGGGAACAUACCUUUUGGUUCGGGACAACCGAGGGAAACUUCAGCUAAUACCGGAUAAGCCCUUACGGGGAAAGAUUUAUCGCCGAAAGAUUGGCCCGCGUCUGAUUAGCUAGUUGGUGAGGUAACGGCUCACCAAGGCGACGAUCAGUAGCUGGUCUGAGAGGAUGAUCAGCCUCACUGGGACUGAGACACGGCCCAGACUCCUACGGGAGGCAGCAGUGGGGAAUAUUGGACAAUGGGGGCAACCCUGAUCCAGCCAUGCCGCGUGAGUGAUGAAGGCCUUAGGGUUGUAAAGCUCUUUUGCCCGGGAAGAUAAUGACGGUACCGGGAGAAUAAGCCCCGGCUAACUUCGUG